RNAcentral lists this ribosomal RNA (408 nucleotides) under uncultured bacterium. RNAcentral describes it as "bacterial SSU rRNA". It matches the Rfam family "Bacterial small subunit ribosomal RNA", at positions 30 to 435 of the family's 1533-position model. The record is from RNAcentral.
AUUGAACGCUGGCGGCAUGCUUUACACAUGCAAGUCGAACGGCAGCACGGGCUUCGGCCUGGUGGCGAGUGGCGAACGGGUGAGUAAUGCAUCGGAACGUACCGUGUAAUGGGGGAUAACGUAGCGAAAGUUACGCUAAUACCGCAUACGCCCUGAGGGGGAAAGCGGGGGAUCGUAAGACCUCGCGUUAUACGAGCGGCCGAUGUCGGAUUAGCUAGUUGGUGGGGUAAAGGCCUACCAAGGCGACGAUCCGUAGCGGGUCUGAGAGGAUGAUCCGCCACACUGGGACUGAGACACGGCCCAGACUCCUACGGGAGGCAGCAGUGGGGAAUUUUUGGACAAUGGGCGCAAGCCUGAUCCAGCCAUGCCGCGUGAGUGAAGAAGGCCUUCGGGUUGGUUAAAGUACGU